GCUGGAAUGGCCGAGUCGUUAAGGCGAUAGAUUUGAAUCCCAGUCGAUAAUCAUCUAUUACUCUCUGAGUGCGUAGGUUCAAAUCCUGCUUCCAGCG
Non-coding RNA from Lentinula boryana, 97 nucleotides. Lineage: Eukaryota; Fungi; Basidiomycota; Agaricomycetes; Agaricales; Omphalotaceae. The record is from the annotation of a GenBank genome assembly.